AUUGAACGCUGGCGGCAGGCCUAACACAUGCCAGUCGAGCGGAUGAAGGGAGCUUGCUCCUGGAUUCAGCGGCGGACGGGUGAGUAAUGCCUAGGAAUCUGCCUGGUAGUGGGGGAUAACGUCCGGAAACGGGCGCUAAUACCGCAUACGUCCUGAGGGAGAAAGUGGGGGAUCUUCGGACCUCACGCUAUCAGAUGAGCCUAGGUCGGAUUAGCUAGUUGGUGGGGUAAAGGCCUACCAAGGCGACGAUCCGUAACUGGUCUGAGAGGAUGAUCAGUCUCACUGGAACUGAGACACGGUCCAGACUCCUACGGGAGGCAGCAGUGGGGAAUAUUGGACAAUGGGCGAAAGCCUGAUCCAGCCAUGCCGCGUGUGUGAAGAAGGUCUUCGGAUUGUAAAGCACUUUAAGUUGGGAGGAAGGGCAGUAAGUUAAUACCUUGCUGUUUUGACGUUACCAACAGAAUAAGCACCGGCUAACUUCGUG
Molecule: ribosomal RNA, 484 nt
Filed under: uncultured bacterium
Lineage: Bacteria
Description: partial 16S ribosomal RNA
Rfam family: Bacterial small subunit ribosomal RNA
Source: RNAcentral